UACGUAGGGCGCAAGCGUUAUCCGGAGUUAUUGGGCGUAAAGAGCUCGUAGGCGGUUUGUCGCGUCUGCCGUGAAAGUCCGGGGCUCAACUCCGGAUCUGCGGUGGGUACGGGCAGACUAGAGUGCAGUAGGGGAGACUGGAAUUCCUGGUGUAGCGGUGAAAUGCGCAGAUAUCAGGAGGAACACCGAUGGCGAAGGCAGGUCUCUGGGCUGUAACUGACGCUGAGGAGCGAAAGCGUGGGGAGCGAACAGG
Molecule: ribosomal RNA, 253 nt
Filed under: uncultured bacterium
Lineage: Bacteria
Description: partial 16S ribosomal RNA
Rfam family: Bacterial small subunit ribosomal RNA
Source: RNAcentral